This 519-nucleotide ribosomal RNA is filed under the name ascomycete sp. nasa1. RNAcentral describes it as "eukaryotic LSU rRNA". The stretch from base 188 to 341 matches the Rfam family "5.8S ribosomal RNA". Lineage: Eukaryota; Fungi; Ascomycota. The record is from RNAcentral.
AGAACCUGCGGAGGGAUCAUUACACAAUAUGNAAGCGGGCUGGCAUNCUUCGGGGNNACAGCCUUGCUGAAUUAUUNACCCGUGUCUUUUGCGUACUUCUUGUUUCCUUGGUGGGUUCGCCCACCAUNGGACAAACCNUNAANCUUUUGNAAUUGCAAUCAGNGGCAGGAAANAAAUUAAUAAUUACAACUUUUAACAACGGAUCUCUUGGUUCUGGCAUCGAUGAAGAACGCAGCGAAAUGCGAUAAGUAGUGUGAAUUGCAGAAUUCAGUGAAUCAUCGAAUCUUUGAACGCACAUUGCGCCCUUUGGUAUUCCAAAGGGCAUGCCUGUUCGAGCGUCAUUUGNACCCUCAAGCUUUGCUUGGUGUUGGGCGUCUUGUCUCCAGUUCGCUGGAGACUCGCCUUAAAGUAAUUGGCAGCCGGCCUACUGGUUNCGGAGCGCAGCACAAGUCGCGCUCUCUUCCAGCCAAGGUCAGCAUCCACAAAGCCUUUUUUCAACUUUUGACCUCGGAUCAGGUA